UACAGAGACUGCAAGCGUUAUUCGGAUUCACUGGGCGUAAAGCGUGCGCAGGCGGUUCGCCGUGUCCGAUGUGAAAGCCCCGGGCUCAACCUGGGAAUGGCAUUGGAAACUGGCUGGCUGGAGUGUGGCAGAGGGGGGUGGAAUUCCACGUGUAGCAGUGAAAUGCGUAGAGAUGUGGAGGAACACCGAUGGCGAAGGCAGCCCCCUGGGCCAACACUGACGCUCAGGCACGAAAGCGUGGGGAGCAAACAGG
RNAcentral lists this ribosomal RNA (253 nucleotides) under uncultured bacterium. Its description in RNAcentral is "partial 16S ribosomal RNA". It matches the Rfam family "Bacterial small subunit ribosomal RNA", at positions 524 to 776 of the family's 1533-position model. The record is from RNAcentral.